AGUAACACGUGGGUGAUCUGCCCUGCACUUCGGGAUAAGCCUGGGAAACUGGGUCUAAUACCGGAUAGGAGCCAUUUUUAGUGUGAUGGUUGGAAAGUUUUUCGGUGUAGGAUGAGCUCGCGGCCUAUCAGCUUGUUGGUGGGGUAAUGGCCUACCAAGGCGGCGACGGGUAGCCGGCCUGAGAGGGUGGACGGCCACAUUGGGACUGAGACACGGCCCAG
RNAcentral lists this ribosomal RNA (221 nucleotides) under uncultured Actinomycetales bacterium. Its description in RNAcentral is "partial 16S ribosomal RNA". It matches the Rfam family "Bacterial small subunit ribosomal RNA", at positions 109 to 334 of the family's 1533-position model. The record is from RNAcentral. Lineage: Bacteria; Bacillati; Actinomycetota; Actinomycetes; Actinomycetales.